RNAcentral lists this ribosomal RNA (497 nucleotides) under uncultured bacterium. Its description in RNAcentral is "partial 16S ribosomal RNA". It matches the Rfam family "Bacterial small subunit ribosomal RNA", at positions 28 to 507 of the family's 1533-position model. The record is from RNAcentral.
GAUGAACGCUGGCGGCGUGCCUAAUACAUGCAAGUCGAGCGAACAGAUAAGGAGCUUGCUCCUUUGACGUUAGCGGCGGACGGGUGAGUAACACGUGGGUAACCUACCUAUAAGACUGGGAUAACUUCGGGAAACCGGAGCUAAUACCGGAUAACAUUUGGAACCGCAUGGUUCUAAAGUGAAAGAUGGUUUUGCUAUCACUUAUAGAUGGACCCGCGCCGUAUUAGCUAGUUGGUAAGGUAACGGCUUACCAAGGCAACGAUACGUAGCCGACCUGAGAGGGUGAUCAGCCACACUGGAACUGAGACACGGUCCAGACUCCUACGGGAGGCAGCAGUAGGGAAUCUUCCGCAAAGGGCGAAAGCCUGACGGAGCAACGCCGCGUGAGUGAUGAAGGGUUUCGGCUCGUAAAACUCUGUUAUUAGGGAAGAACAAAUGUGUAAGUAACUGUGCACGUCUUGACGGUACCUAAUCAGAAAGCCACGGCUAACUACGUG